CCCCCAAAGAAACCGGCAUCCGCUCCUGCA
RNAcentral lists this small RNA (30 nucleotides) under Bombyx mori (domestic silkworm). Its description in RNAcentral is "ovarian small RNA-13659". Lineage: Eukaryota; Metazoa; Arthropoda; Insecta; Lepidoptera; Bombycidae. The record is from RNAcentral.